AGAUAGCUCAGUCGGUAGAGCAUGAGACUCUUAAUCUCAGGGUUGUGGGUUCAAGCCCCAUGUUGGGUA
Molecule: non-coding RNA, 69 nt
Organism: Podarcis lilfordi (Lilford's wall lizard)
Lineage: Eukaryota; Metazoa; Chordata; Lepidosauria; Squamata; Lacertidae
Source: the annotation of a GenBank genome assembly